Molecule: transfer RNA, 85 nt
Filed under: Kofleriaceae bacterium
Lineage: Bacteria; Pseudomonadati; Myxococcota; Haliangiales; Kofleriaceae
Description: tRNA-Leu
Rfam family: tRNA
About the family: Transfer RNA (tRNA) molecules are approximately 80 nucleotides in length. Their secondary structure includes four short double-helical elements and three loops (D, anti-codon, and T loops).
Source: RNAcentral
GCGCGGAUGGCGGAAUUGGUAGACGCGCUAGCUUGAGGUGCUAGUGGGUAACUCCGUGGGGGUUCGAGUCCCCCUCCGCGCACCA